AGAAUUAUCUGCUGAAGAGACGUUUGAAAAUAAGAAAAACAAACUCGAGGAGUUGGGAAUGCAACUACUUUCUGAUCCUGAGGCAAACAUAAGAACCAUAAAGGAAUUUGUUCAAAAAAAAAAAAAAAAAAAAACAAAAAGGAAAAUGACCCGGAGUAAAAAAAAAAGACAUGCAGAGCCUAAAAGAAAAAAAAAACAUAAAGGAAAUGUUAGACAUCUCCAAAGAUGGGAAUAGAAAGAUAGUGAAACUUGGCUUGUUAUCUGUGUUGGCCGUAUUUAAAGAUAUUAUUCCUGGGUAAUUUUAUCAGACCUUUCCCCCAUUUUAUCUGCCAGCUAUUAGAAUAGACUUCCUACAGAAAAGGAGCUCGAGAUGAAGGUCUCAAAGGCAGUAAAGAAAACCCGGUUCUAUGAGUCAACUUUAUUAAAAGCCUACAAGGUAUGCAUGUCAAGUAUACUUGAUUCUUGAUUCUUGACUCUUGAUUCCUCUGAAUAUAUUUGUAACACAUAUGCUUUUUUGCUGCUGUUUGUCCUUGACAGUCAUAUCUGCAAAAGUUUAGUUGCAUUUGAAAAGCAGUCAGUCAGUAUAUAACCAGGUUGCCUCUCGGUGCAUUUGUACGUUGCUGGAUGCGAAACCACGGUAGUUGAAGCUCUGAUGUCACGUCUCCUUUUUUGUAUCUGUCUUUAGGUGUUCAUGUCCAUACGCUUUGACGAGGAUAUUGGAAAGCGUGACAGAGAUGAUGCCAAUAAGAAUAAAUUUAAGAAAAAUAAAAAAAGAAAUAUCCUAGUGGAGCAAAAUAAUGAGCAGGAAAACAAUGUCUAAGACCAGAGACGGGGUAUUUUACUUUCCUUUUCUGUAAUAGAUUAGAUGGUGCGAAAUUUGACGUUUUGACAUUGUUUUCCCUCGUUUUGGCAACUCUAUCUCUAUGACCAUAACAUCUAAAAUGGGUUCUGGUUCUUACUGUUCCUUUCAUCUAAACUUGAUGACAUUGUUCAGGUUCCUGCUGAUUACAAGGAAGUUACGUAUGAACCAGAUGUUAAUUUUUUUGGUUUUGUUUUUGUGGUAAUUUAUAAAUUAUAAUUGUUGCUUUAUUUAUUUUAUCUUUGUGGCUAACCAUAUUUUUUGACAUUAAGCUGAGUAAUUAAAACCUCCUAUCAC
RNAcentral lists this long non-coding RNA (1156 nucleotides) under Brassica napus (rape). RNAcentral describes it as "long non-coding RNA (BNAP_LNC018874)". Lineage: Eukaryota; Viridiplantae; Streptophyta; Magnoliopsida; Brassicales; Brassicaceae. The record is from RNAcentral.